AGCAGCCGCGGUAAUUCCAGCUCCAAUAGCGUAUAUUAAAGUUGUUGCAGUUAAAAAGCUCGUAGUUGAAUUUCGGGAUCAAUAUGUCGGUCGUGCCUUGGUACGUACUGGUAUCAUUGGUCUCUCCUUUCUGACGAACCAUGAUGUCAUUAAUUUGGUGUUAUGGGAAGUUAGGACUGUUACUUUGAAAAAAUUAGAGUGUUUAAAGCAGGCUUUAGCUUGAAUACAUUAGCAUGGAAUAAUGAAAUAGGACGUUCGAACCUAUUUUGUUGGUUUCUAGGAUCAACGUAAUGAUUAAUAGGGAUAGUUGGGGGCAUUAGUAUUCAAUUGUCAGAGGUGAAAUUCUUGGAUUUAUUGAAGACUAACUACUGCGAAAGCAUUUGCCAAGGAUGUUUUCAUUAAUCAAGAACGAAAGUUAGGGGAUCGAAGACGAUCAGAUACCGUCGUAGUCUUAACCAUAAACUAUGCCGACUA
Molecule: ribosomal RNA, 474 nt
Filed under: uncultured Glomus
Lineage: Eukaryota; Fungi; Glomeromycota; Glomeromycetes; Glomerales; Glomeraceae
Description: SSU rRNA
Rfam family: Eukaryotic small subunit ribosomal RNA
Source: RNAcentral